RNAcentral lists this ribosomal RNA (781 nucleotides) under uncultured Neocallimastigales. RNAcentral describes it as "partial large subunit ribosomal RNA". It matches the Rfam family "Eukaryotic large subunit ribosomal RNA", at positions 24 to 645 of the family's 3401-position model. Lineage: Eukaryota; Fungi; Neocallimastigomycota; Neocallimastigomycetes; Neocallimastigales. The record is from RNAcentral.
UAUCUCUGUAGAGUCUGCAUAUCAAUAAGCGGAGGAAAAGAAACUAACUAGGAUUCCCUCAGUAACGGCGAGUGAAGCGGGAAGAGCUCAAAUUUGAAAUCUUCAAGGUUUUACCUUGACGAAUUGUAGUUUAAAGAAGUGUUUUCUGUUGGAGUUUUCGGUAAAAGUUCUUUGGAAUAGGACAUCAUAGAGGGUGAGAAUCCCGUAUUUGACCGUUACUUUCAGCUGUGUGAUACACUUUCAAAGAGUCGGAUUGUUUGGGAAUGCAGUCCAAAAUGGGUGGUAAAUUUCAUCUAAAGCUAAAUAUUGGCGAGAGACCGAUAGCGAACAAGUACCGUGAGGGAAAGAUGAAAAGAACUUUGAAAAGAGAGUUAAACAGUACGUGAAAUUGUCAAAAGGGAAGCGUUUGACACCAGUGUUGUUUUCUCGAAAAUCAAUUAAAAAUAGUUGGAUUUUGUGUUGUAUUGACCUUAUAAGCUUUCUUCACUUUUUUCAUGUUAUUUUUAAUGCACUUUUCGUUUAACAAGUCAACAUCAAGUUUCUUUUGUUGUAAAAGGUCAUUGGAAGGUGGCUUUCACUUCGGAUGAAAGUGUUUAUAGCCUUUGACUUCUACAAUCGGAGAGACUUGAGGUCUGCAGCGUAGAUCCUUCGGGAUUAGAUUACUUAGAUGCUAAGUUAUAGCUUUUUCAUAGACAACUUGUUGACUAUGAUUAGUCAUGUAGCUUACUCGCUUACUGCUAAUUUUACCUACGCUUAGGAUGUUGAUCUCUCACAGUCGAGC